This 95-nucleotide transfer RNA is filed under the name Variovorax paradoxus. RNAcentral's name for it is "tRNA-OTHER". It matches the Rfam family "tRNA". From Rfam's summary of the family: Transfer RNA (tRNA) molecules are approximately 80 nucleotides in length. The record is from RNAcentral. Lineage: Bacteria; Pseudomonadati; Pseudomonadota; Betaproteobacteria; Burkholderiales; Comamonadaceae.
GGACUUGUAGCUCAAUGGAAAGAGCGUCGUGCGUAUGCCGCCCCCGGAAGGUGGCCUCCAGCACGAAGAUCCCGGUUCGAGUCCGGGCAGGGCCU